UUUUUCCUACGGGGGGCAGCAGUGAGGAAUAUUGGUCAAUGGCCGAGAGGCUCAACCAGCCAAGUCGCGUGAGGGAUGACGGCCCUACGGGUUGUAAACCUCUUUUGUCGGGGAGCAAGACCCGCCACGAGUGGCGGAGCGAGAGUACCCGAAGAAAAAGCAUCGGCUAACUCCGUGCCAGCAGCCGCGGUAAUACGGAGGAUGCGAGCGUUAUCCGGAUUUAUUGGGUUUAAAGGGUGCGCAGGCGGACCAUCAAGUCAGCGGUAAGAUCGUGGGGCCCAACCCCAUCCCGCCGUUGAAACUGG
Molecule: ribosomal RNA, 305 nt
Filed under: uncultured bacterium
Lineage: Bacteria
Description: bacterial SSU rRNA
Rfam family: Bacterial small subunit ribosomal RNA
Source: RNAcentral